Oncorhynchus tshawytscha (Chinook salmon) is the source of this 2426-nucleotide long non-coding RNA. The record is from Ensembl. Lineage: Eukaryota; Metazoa; Chordata; Actinopteri; Salmoniformes; Salmonidae.
CUUGAACUCAGGCUCGCACGAGCGUUAACUGUCCUGUGAACACACAUUUGGCUUUCCCACCAGUGACGGUGCAAGUCAAUAUUAUGUAGGCUACUUUAAUGCUGUUGUAGCAAUCUUUCUUUGCGGAAGCUUGACGUCAAUCUAUAUAUAAAUAUAUAAAAAAUAACCGACAACCGACACUCGUGACUUUUAUGCAUUCCACGUGUGUCGUUCAACUGGGAUACACACACAACUUUGAUCUCGUCUGGAGAAAAUGAAAACAUACAGAAUACACUUUGUCAUGUGGACUGUCCUGGGAUUAGCAGCAGUCUUCAUCUCUUCCUCGGCCCUCUCAGGUGUGAAAGGAAUUGUGAAACAGAAGGUCCUCCUGCAUUGCCCCUGCGUAAAUAGAAAUGUGAGAAAGACAAUUAUCUGGCAGCUAGAAGAGCAUACCAUCGUGCUCCGUCAUGAUGGAAGUAAUAACCACACAACCAUAGGGGAGAGAUAUGAAAACAGGGUCAGUCUCUUUCUAAAUGAAGAGAAGGACAACUGUUCGCUGCUCCUCUCAGGCAUCACUGUGGCAGACAACGGGACAUACAAAUGCUCCUUUACAGCCAACGCUUUUGUCUACGAAAAAGUAAUUCUACAUGUGGCUGCGAGCUACAGUGUCUGUAUGGACCUCGUCUCAGACCAGGCUUCGGUGAGUUCCGGAGGGGGAGAGGGGUCGGGGGUGUACCAGUGUAAAGCCUCUGGGGGCUAUCCAGAGGGCCAGAUUCACUGGAAGCUGGAAGGACAUCCUCUGGUGAACCCCUCCAGGAGGGAUGUGACCCACUUGGACAACUUUACAGGACUCUACAGCCUGACCAGCAACCUGACCAUCGAGCUGAGUAAGGAUGAAACACUGCAAUGUGUGGUGGAGAACACAGCCUUGGCCUCCAACCUCACCUCCAACUCCAGCUGCAAUCAAAAGUCUAAGGACCUAAGCCCUAGGACCAUGCCUCAGGACUACCUGGCAUGAUGACUCCUUGCUGUCCCCAGUCCACCUGGCCGUGCUGCUGCUCCUGCUGCUAUGGAACCCUGAUCUGUUCACCGGACGUGCUACCUGUCCCAGACAUUCUGUUUUCAACUCUCUAGAGACAGCAGGAGGGGUAGAGAUACUCUCAAUGAUCGUCUAUGAAAAGCCAACUGACAUUUACUCCUGAGGUGCUGACCUGUUGCACCCUCGACAACUACUGUCAUUAUUAUUAUUCGACCAUGUUGGUCAUUUAUGAAUAUUUGAACAUCUUGGCCAUGUUCUAUUAUAAUCUCCACCCAGCACAGCCAGAAGAGGACUGGCCACCCCUCAUAGCCUGGUUCCUCUCUAGGUUUCUUCCUAGGUUUUGGCCUUUCUAGGGAGUUUUUCCUAGCCACCGUGCUUCUACACCUGCAUUGCUUGCUGUUUGGGGUUUUAGGCUGGGUUUCUGUACAGCACUUUGUGGCAUCAGCUGAUGUAAGAAGGGCUAUAUAAAUACAUUUUUAUUUGAUUUUGAUUUUGAUUUGACACUGCAUUCUCGGAGUGCACGUCCUGGUAAUCCGUCUGGCCCUGUGGCCUUGUGUAUGUUGACCUGUUUAAAAUGGUCUUACUCACAUCGGCUACAGUGAGCGCGAUCACACAGUCGUCCAGAACAGCUGGUGCUCUCAUGCAUGCUUUGGUGUUGCUUGCCUCGAAAUGUGCAUAGAAGUAAUUUAGCUCAUCUGGUAAGCUUGUGUCGCUGGGCAGCUCGCGGCUGAGCUUCCCUUUGUAGACUGUAGUAGUUUGCAAGCCCUGCCACAUCCGACGAGCGUCGGAGUCGGUGUAGAACGAUUCAAUCUUAGUCCUGUAUUUACUCUUUGGCUGUUGCCAGGAUGGGAAAGAUUGAUGGGGGUGGGGGCCACAAAAAAACGGAACUCAUCAUGAGGGGCCAAAGUGGCUCUGUGGUCUGGUCAUGGGACUUGCAACCGCUUAUUCGACAAUUCUUACUACAAGUUUAGAUAACUGGCCGCUCAACAGCAAAAAUGUUUUAAUGAUAUGAGCUAAUUGAAAUACUUCUGAUGCACUAGCAAAUGUAUAAAUUGCACCUUGUGCAUUCUAUUAUUCUAACUUUCAACAGUAAGUUGCGAACCCGACUGAGUUCCUAAAUAUUUCUACACACACACACACACACACACACACACACACACACACACACACACACACACACACACACACACACACACACACACACACACACACACACACACACACACACACACGCAGUGCAAUCAGAAAGUAUUCAGACCCCUUGACUUUUUCCACAUUUUAUUACGUUACAGCCUUAUUCUAAAAUGGAUUAAAUAAAAUGUUGCAAAUGUAUAACAAAUAAAAAAUUGAAAUAUUCAGACCUUUUACUCAGUACUUUGUUGAAGCACCUUUGGCAGCGAUUACAGCC